AAACUGAAGAGUUUGAUCCUGGCUCAGAUUGAACGCUGGCGGCAUGCCUUACACAUGCAAGUCGAACGGCAGCACGGAGCUUGCUCUGGUGGCGAGUGGCGAACGGGUGAGUAAUAUAUCGGAACGUACCCUAGAGUGGGGGAUAACGUAGCGAAAGUUACGCUAAUACCGCAUACGAUCUAAGGAUGAAAGUGGGGGAUCGCAAGACCUCAUGCUCGUGGAGCGGCCGAUAUCUGAUUAGCUAGUUGGUAGGGUAAAAGCCUACCAAGGCAUCGAUCAGUAGCUGGUCUGAGAGGACGACCAGCCACACUGGAACUGAGACACGGUCCAGACUCCUACGGGAGGCAGCAGUGGGGAAUUUUGGACAAUGGGCGAAAGCCUGAUCCAGCAAUGCCGCGUGAGUGAAGAAGGCCUUCGGGUUGUAAAGCUCUUUUGUCAGGGAAGAAACGGUGAGAGCUAAUAUCUUUUGCUAAUGACGGUACCUGAAGAAUAAGCACCGGCUAACUACGUGCCAGCAGCCGCGGUAAUACGUAGGGUGCAAGCGUUAAUCGGAAUUACUGGGCGUAAAGCGUGCGCAGGCGGUUUUGUAAGUCUGAUGUGAAAUCCCCGGGCUCAACCUGGGAAUUGCAUUGGAGACUGCAAGGCUAGAAUCUGGCAGAGGGGGGUAGAAUUCCACGUGUAGCAGUGAAAUGCGUAGAUAUGUGGAGGAACACCGAUGGCGAAGGCAGCCCCCUGGGUCAAGAUUGACGCUCAUGCACGAAAGCGUGGGGAGCAAACAGGAUUAGAUACCCUGGUAGUCCACGCCCUAAACGAUGUCUACUAGUUGUCGGGUCUUAAUUGACUUGGUAACGCAGCUAACGCGUGAAGUAGACCGCCUGGGGAGUACGGUCGCAAGAUUAAAACUCAAAGGAAUUGACGGGGACCCGCACAAGCGGUGGAUGAUGUGGAUUAAUUCGAUGCAACGCGAAAAACCUUACCUACCCUUGACAUGGCUGGAAUCC
This 1001-nucleotide ribosomal RNA is filed under the name Janthinobacterium sp. CAN_S1. RNAcentral's name for it is "bacterial SSU rRNA". It matches the Rfam family "Bacterial small subunit ribosomal RNA", at positions 1 to 998 of the family's 1533-position model. The record is from RNAcentral. Lineage: Bacteria; Pseudomonadati; Pseudomonadota; Betaproteobacteria; Burkholderiales; Oxalobacteraceae.